This 181-nucleotide ribosomal RNA is filed under the name uncultured bacterium. Its description in RNAcentral is "partial 16S ribosomal RNA". It matches the Rfam family "Bacterial small subunit ribosomal RNA", at positions 1319 to 1500 of the family's 1533-position model. The record is from RNAcentral.
CAUGAAGCCGGAAUUGCUAGUAAUGGCAGGUCAGCAUACUGCCGUGAAUACGUUCCCGGGCCUUGUACACACCGCCCGUCACACCAUGAGAGUUGGAAAUACCCGAAGCCUGUGAGCUAACUUAAAGAGGCAGCAGUCGAAGGUAGAGCCAAUGAUUGGGGUGAAGUCGUAACAAGGUAGC